UUUAGUUCAUUUCAGUUCAGAAUCGAACGCGAGCCGAGUCGCAACAUCGCCGCCGAGCAGCGCAUGCUGUUUUUUUUUCAGUGUGUACGUUUUGAUUGCAAAAAAAGGAAAACGAAAAGAAAUAAGCAAAAGCAAUAGCAAGGCAAGCAGUAGCAGCAGCAGCAGCAACGCUGAAAACAUUUUUCAUCUGCGGCCUGGAAAAGUGCCCCGAAGAAAAUAAUAGAUAAAUUGUGUUAAUCGCCCCAUCGAGCCAGCAAAAAAUAUUCACUGUAUAUUUAUACAUUCUGUUGUUGUUGUGCGUGUGUUCCACCUCUAUUCCUCUUGCUUUUGGACAUCAUACACUUUUUGUUGUUAAUUUUCCAGCUGGCCGCCUGCAAAUGAUAAAAAUGUCGUAGACGACGUGUCUCCCCCCAUAUCCAUAUAUCCCCCAUCCAAACACAACAAAAAUAAGAAAACGAUAACGUCGGACGACAACAACAACGUCGCCUCCACAUCAUCCAGCCAUGACCAGCGGCAAUCGAUGAUUGCCAUUCCCUCAGCCAACGAGACCCAAUAGAGGCAGCGCCGGAAAGGAGGACGGAUCCGUCGGAAGUGCCCGCCAUUCGAGCGUCAUCAAUAGCCGGUGGAGGAAAACCCACCUCACUUUCCACCUACCCCUUCCAUCACUCUUUUUAAAGCCAAGGACUCAGGCGGUCAUCAUGCUGAUCAAGGAGUACCGCAUUCCGCUGCCCCUCACCGUCGAGGAAUACCGCAUCGCCCAGCUUUACAUGAUAGCGAAAAAAAGUCGCGAAGAAAGUCAUGGCGAAGGCAGUGGCGUUGAGAUAAUCAUCAAUGAGCCAUAUAAGGAUGGACCCGGUGGAAAUGGUCAAUACACGAAAAAGAUCUACCAUGUGGGCAAUCAUUUGCCUGGCUGGAUUAAGAGUCUCUUGCCAAAAAGCGCUUUAACUGUGGAGGAGGAGGCGUGGAAUGCCUAUCCUUAUACCAGGACACGCUACACCUGCCCAUUUGUGGAGAAGUUUUCGCUGGACAUCGAGACGUACUAUUAUCCGGAUAAUGGCUAUCAGGAUAAUGUCUUCCAGUUGUCAGGAAGUGACCUAAGAAACCGCAUAGUUGAUGUGAUUGACAUUGUGAAGGACCAACUGUGGGGCGGUGAUUAUGUCAAGGAGGAGGAUCCCAAGCACUUUGUGUCGGACAAGACGGGGCGUGGACCCUUGGGCGAGGAUUGGCUGGAGGAGUAUUGGCGCGAGGUGAAGGGCAAAAAGCAGCCGACACCGCGUAACAUGUCCUUGAUGACGGCCUACAAGAUUUGUCGCGUUGAAUUCCGCUAUUGGGGCAUGCAAACGAAGCUGGAGAAGUUUAUCCAUGAUGUGGCGUUGCGCAAGAUGAUGUUGCGUGCCCAUCGGCAAGCAUGGGCGUGGCAAGACGAAUGGUAUGGCUUAACCAUCGAGGAUAUCCGUGAACUGGAGCGACAAACGCAGUUGGCUUUGGCCAAGAAAAUGGGCGGCGGCGAGGAGUGCAGCGAUGAUAGCAUCUCAGAGCCAUAUGUUAGCACGGCGGCGGCCGCCGCCUCCACAACGGGCAGCGAACGAAAGAAGUCCGCUCCAGCAGUACCGCCUAUUGUAACCCAACAGCCACCCAGCGCCGAGGCCAGUUCCGAUGAGGAGGGCGAGGAAGAGGACGAUGACGAGGACGAGAACGAUGCCAUUGGCACUGGCGUGGAUCUCUCAGCCAAUCAAGGUGGAUCUGCUCAACGUUCGCGUUCGCAAAGCAUUCAAAUGGCUCAGAAGGCAAAGUUCGGGUCAAAGGGUGCUCUACAUUCUCCGGUGGGAUCUGCCCAUAGUUUCGAUCUGCAGUCCAAAAAGCCGCAUGCAAAGACAGCGCCACGCAGACAUGUGGCAAACUGGCGAAUGGAGCGAUUGGAAGUGGACUCCAAGUCUAAUUCAGAUGAGGAAUUCUUCGAUUGUCUGGAUACCAAUGAAACAAACUCCCUAGCCAAGUGGAGCUCUUUGGAGCUGCUGGGCGAGGGCGAUGACAGUCCACCGCCACAUGGCGGACCCUCUGGUGCAGCAUCCGUAGGUGGACGUGGCAAUUCGCGGCAGGAGGACAGCAUCUUUAACCAGGAUUUUUUGAUGCGGGUUGCCUCGGAGCGUGGUAAUAAACGGCAGUUACGUUCAUCGGCCAGCGUGGAUCGUAGUCAUGAUUCAUCGCCACCAGGAUCACCGAGUACACCGUCAUGCCCAACUACCAUCCUAAUCCUGGUGGUCCAUGCAGGCAGUGUUCUGGAUGCAGCCAGCGAGUUAACGGCCAAGAAGUCCGAUGUGACCACUUUCCGCGGUUCCUUUGAGGCAGUGAUGCGACAGCAUUAUCCCAGUCUUCUAACUCAUGUGACCAUUAAGAUGGUGCCAUGUCCAUCGAUUUGCACUGACGCCUUGGGCAUUCUUUCCAGCCUGAGUCCGUACUCUUUUGAUGCAUCGCCCUCGGCGGCGGAUAUACCGAAUAUAGCCGAUGUCCCAAUAGGAGCUAUACCCCUUUUAUCCGUAGCAUCGCCGGAAUUCCAUGAGACGGUCAACAAGACGGUGGCCGCUGCCAAUAUUGUCUACCAUGAGUUCUUGAAAUCGGAGGAGGGACACGGUUUCUCCGGACAGAUUGUUAUGCUGGGUGAUUCGAUGGGCUCACUGUUGGCCUACGAGGCAUUGUGCCGUUCCAAUGGCAGUCAACCGGGCACGGCCCCAAAUUCUGGCGGAGAUACAGCCACAAAUAUAAAUACCCAUAAUCCGUUAGGACCACGUCAUUCACGGUUGGAUGAUGAUGAGCGUUUCAUUGAGGCCGAUUUGGAUGCCAAGCGCUUGUUGGUGGCUCCAUCACCGAGGAGACGGCGUUCCAGUUCGUCGAGCGAUUCACGGGCCACCAAAUUGGACUUUGAGGUCUGUGAUUUCUUUAUGUUCGGAUCACCGCUUUCGGUGGUAUUGGCGGCACGAAAACUCCACGAUGCCAAGGCCGCUCUAGCGAGGCCCAACUGCCAUCAGGUGUACAAUCUGUUCCAUCCAACCGAUCCGAUUGCCUCGCGUCUAGAGCCGCUUUUAAGCGCUCGCUUCUCCAUUCUGUCGCCGGUUAAUGUCCCACGGUACGCCAAGUAUCCGCUGGGAAAUGGUCAGCCAUUGCAUUUAUUGGAAGUGAUUCAGUCGCAUCCGCAGCACUUUAACGAUGGCAAUAACCUUUUGGCCGGUCGCCGUUUGUCAGAUGCCUCGAUGCAGAGCACGAUAUCGGGUCUGAUUGAGAAUGUCUCACUUAGUACGAUCCAUGCCCUUCAAAACAAAUGGUGGGGCACCAAACGCUUGGACUACGCUUUAUAUUGCCCAGAGGGAUUAAGCAACUUUCCGGCUCAUGCCUUGCCACACCUAUUCCAUGCCAGCUAUUGGGAAAGUCCGGAUGUGAUUGCCUUUAUCCUAAGGCAAAUUGGCAAAUUCGAGGGCAUACCGUUUGUGGGAUCUAACGAUGACAAGGACAAUGCCUCCUUCCAUCCAGGACAGCCGAGGGAGAAGUGGAUCAAGAAACGCACCUCGGUGAAGCUGAAAAAUGUGGCCGCCAAUCAUCGGGCCAACGAUGUGAUCGUUCAGGAGGGCCGAGAGCAGCGAUUGAAUGCCAGAUUUAUGUAUGGACCUUUGGAUAUGAUCACGCUGCACGGUGAGAAGGUAGAUGUGCAUAUUAUGAAGGAUCCGCCGGCAGGCGAAUGGACAUUCCUCAGCACUGAGGUGACGGACAAGAACGGUCGCAUCUCGUACAUCAUUCCCGAUCAGGUCUCCCUGGGCUAUGGCAUAUACCCGGUCAAGAUGGUGGUCCGUGGUGAUCACACUUCGGUGGAUUGCUAUAUGGCCGUGGUACCACCAUUAACCGAAUGUGUGGUCUUUAGUAUUGAUGGAUCCUUUACCGCUUCCAUGUCAGUGACGGGCAGAGAUCCUAAAGUUCGUGCCGGAGCCGUAGAUGUAUGUCGGCAUUGGCAAGAGUUGGGCUAUCUGCUUAUUUAUAUCACCGGACGACCAGAUAUGCAACAACAGCGCGUGGUGUCAUGGCUGAGUCAGCACAAUUUCCCACAUGGUCUGAUCUCGUUCGCCGACGGCCUGUCCACCGAUCCGCUGGGACACAAGACGGCCUAUCUCAACAAUUUAGUGCAGAAUCAUGGAAUCUCAAUAACCGCUGCCUAUGGCAGCAGCAAGGACAUUAGCGUCUACACGAAUGUGGGCAUGCGAACCGAUCAGAUCUUCAUCGUUGGCAAGGUUGGCAAGAAACUACAAUCCAAUGCCACCGUUCUAAGUGAUGGCUAUGCUGCCCAUUUGGCUGGAUUACAGGCUGUGGGCGGUUCACGUCCCGCGAAGGGAAAUGCCCGCAUGGUCAUCCCUCGCGGAUGCUUUAAUCUGCCCGGCCAGACGGCAAAUCCGCGACGCAGAAGGCUGCAUGAACAAGCAACGAAUGAAAAUUAAAAAUUGCAACUUAAACGAGCAACAAUAAAUUGCUUAGAGCAAUAAAAAAAAAACAAUUUAAAGCAUCAUGUAAACAGAUAGAAGCGACAAAACAAAAACCUAAAAUCCAAAAACAAUAUACAGACAAUUGAUGUUAGUAAUAGUGUUAUAGAAUAUUAUGCCCUUAUACUCCCCACACACCACAAAGUUUUUUGAGUUAUUCUGUUAAUUAUUUUGAAGCAUACCUAGCUGAGCAUUUUAGUGAUUGAUUUAUUCAUUGAUUGGUGUUGUAAAAAAAAAGAAAAGAAAAACUAAACAUAAAAACAAAAACUCACCAAUAUUAGAGUUGGGAGCACAAAUAUCGAUAAUUAUCGAUCUUUGAAACAUCUCCACCUCUGAACAAAACACAAUUAGAGCCUAAAAUUCAAUUCUCUUCUCAACGUUAACUCUGUCUCUCUUUCUCCAAAAAAAAACUCCAAAAUUUGCUUGAAAAAAAAACAAACACCACACACACAUACCUCACACACGCACACACUGCCAUCGACCUUGUUAUCGAUAAACAGCAACGAGACGGGACUAUCAUCACCCAUACGCAGUGGUUACCUGAAGCGCAAGACCUACCUGAGCCACCACUAGAGCAACCAAGAUGCAACAGCUAUAUAGAUUGAUCCAUCAGAUAUAAAAUCAAAUCAAAUCCCUCAGACUUCCUCAGAAAUAGUAAACCCUUCGAAAUAGAAAACUAAAAGGACAACAACAUCGAUGACUCCAUAUGCCACAUCUGUGUAUAUACCACAAACAUAUAUAUCUAUAUAUAUAUAUAUAUUUAUAUACUAUGCGCGAUAUAUUGAAAGUUCAAUGGUGUAACAUAUAUAAAUAUAUAUCAAAAACCAAAAUUGCAAAUGAGAAAAAAACAAUUGUACAACAUUUAACCAAAGUCAAAUGUGUCACGCGGUACCUGGAAAGAAAGACUGUUUCCUCCUGUUGUUUGAUGGUUUUUCAAACCACUUAAAGCAUACAUAAAAUGAAAAAAAAAAAACAUUGAAAACUACAUGAAACAAAAGCCGAUCGUAAAGCUAUAUACUAAAUAAAAUUAUAAAUGAUAUAUACAAGGAUAUAUUGAAAAUAUAGAACCGUUUAACAUAUGCAAGCGAACAAAGUUCAACAAACCAACCAAGUGAGGUACAACAACUGAAGGACAAACUAAUGAAACAGAAGAUCUCCCGAUGAAUAAGGAAUACGAGUAUAUAAGGAUAACUAAGACAAGCGAAUGGAAAGCGAGGAAAGCGUUGCAAAAUCAAAAGGCAAAUUUAAUGCAUUUCUUGAGAAACAACCACUACAAAAACUCUUACGAAAAGUAUAAAUUAACGGCUUCCGUAAAACAAAAACCAAAAAAAAGAAACCUAAAACUAUAUAUAUCUAUAUGCGUGUAAAAUUGACAAAAACAAAAAAAAACUAAAUUCUUAAGAAGAAAGAAUGUUGAAACUAAAAUCUUCAUGAAAUUGAAUACAAUCUCUUACCUGGCCCCAGAAAUUUGAAAUCUCCAUAAUUGUGAUAGUCUUUCGCUACCAAAAGGUUAAUUUAACAUAAAACAAAAACUAAAACUAAAAGAAAAACAGCAAAUUAUACAUAUUUAUCUCUACUAAAAAUUGUUAUUCGGAUAGAAAAGAAUAUAUAAAAACUAUUGGAUAUUGUGUAAACGUAAACCCGAUUUUGUGAUACCAAAAAAAAAAAAAAAAGUGAACUAAAAACCAAAGUUGAGUUCGCGAGAUGAGAGAUCCUCGUGUUAGAAAUCUAUACAAAAUAACACACACACACAACUCAAGGCGACCUGAAGAUGUAACGGGCAUUAAAUCUGACCCAUAUAGUAAUACUACUAUACAUAUAUAUAUAUAUAUAUAUAUAUAUAUAUAGAUCUAUAUAUAUAUACCACUAUGUAUGCAUAACCCAGUUAUGUGCUGUCCACGCAAGUUAACUAAAAACUCUCACAGAACUUGUCAAAAAUCUCAGAAAUAUAUAAAAAAAAAACAGAUAAAACCAAAUUAAAGGCACACAAGAAGGGACCUUUGAAAAUGAGAUAAAAUUAUAUAUAUGUAAUCUGUUCGAUCUUUUUAGGUUUACCUAAAAGCCAAACGUUGGUUAACUAUCGAGUAGUUGAGUUAUGUGAGUAAGAUACUUCCUAAACUGACAAAACAAAUGCAAAUUGAAGAGUUUAAAACCGAUAGUUUUAAUGAGAGCAGAGUAAUUGUAUGUAAAGAUAAAUAUAUAUAUAUUAUAUACCUACACUAUAUACUAAAUAUACUGUAUAUUUAUCUAGCGCAACUACAUUAAGGUCUUUUUUGAAGCUUGCUAAACUGAAAAAGUGUUCCGAUCAUAGUAUUGUCCGGCUAUACGUUCCUCUAUCCUCACCAUUUGAGUCGAUUUUUAAGUCACUUUCAUUUUUUUGUAGCCAAGUAUUAAACUAAACCGAAAAACUAAAAACAAAAACUGAUGGAAGAUCUACUAGAUUUUAAGAUGAAUCUCUACCUAUGAAGAGUUUAUCCUAUAUAAGUACGUAGUUGGUUCAAGCAUGAGGUAAAAAAAAGAAAGUAUAAAGGCAAGUCCUAUUAACUAACACACCAGAUACUCAUAGAGUCGAAGGGUUUAUGUCUGUCUAUUUAGCUGGUAAAUUAAAGGAAUUUUCUAUAUAUCUUUCUGUUCGAAACCGAUUUGCUUUCCAAAAGUUAGAUUUAUUUACAUUAGUACAUUUUUUUAGAUGAGAGAAACAUUUUUGAAAGUUUUUAGAAUAUCUUUUAAUUGUCUUAUGAAACUAGAAUUAUUUUGUAUAGUAUUUAGUAAAAUUCUAAAGAAAUAUCUUUCUUUUCCCACAAAAAAUAACCAAAAAGUUAAAACAAAAAAGCCCAUAAAAACAUGAAUCAUUUUGUAUAUGUAAGAGGCAACUUUUUGCAACUUCGUACAAUGUUAUACUGUACUAGUAUUAGUUCUUUGUGUUUCUAAAAUUUCCCAUAGAUCGGUUGCUUUAUUCCCCAUUUAUCGUUGCUAUUUGUAGAGUACUACAUUGUAUAUCUAUAUUUUUCCUCCUCUCAAACUCCACCAAAAUAUGAACUCCCAAAGCCAAUAAAGCGUUGAGCAGAAUUGUAUUGAUAUUUUGAGAACCCACCAUAUAGAUAAUAAGCUAAAAUCCCCACAUACACACAAAAAAAGUGACGAUGACUAAUGCAGAGAUUAUAAUCAAAGAACAAAAAACUAAAAAACGAAAACAAUGGAAAAGAAAUACAAAAUUGUUACGUACAUAUAAGUAAAUAUAUGUCCGUAUGGUUAUGUAUUUUUAAAUAUUAAGUGCAAAAGUCCAGGAAUAACAAAUACGAAUUCAGAUUGUAAACAAAUAUAAAAAACAUAAACAAGGCGAACAAAAAUAUAAAAUUAUUUAUUGACAACAAAAUCUACAAGCCGAAGAACAAAAACACACAAAAAAAAAAAAAAAAAAAAAAAACGAGGAGCAAGCCAAAUGCAAUCUAUUUACAAAAUCCCAAAAGCAAGAAUGACAAACCAAAAAGUUAAAGAUAGCUGAUCCGAAGAAUAUAUAUAUAUAUAUGUAUACAUUGUAUAAUGUAUAACUAACCGAAAGAGAAAUAAAGAGAUUUUUAAGCCAAUA
This is an RNA transcript of Drosophila eugracilis, 8109 nucleotides long. It is a transcript of the gene named protein retinal degeneration B, with no coding region annotated. The record is from RefSeq and is a predicted model, not a curated record. The transcript has 14 exons. NCBI's taxonomy places the organism in Eukaryota, Metazoa, Arthropoda, Insecta, Diptera, Drosophilidae.